CUUGGCUACUUUUGUUGUCACAGGUGCCAGCGGAACGCCACCGACAACAAUCACCCCGACAAUAGCCGAGUUAUCGGUUUCGCGGGGGUGAGCGAGACGAGAAAUGGAAGGAGUGGGGUCUCGACUGGGUCGUGCCUCUUCUCGAUACGGCCCAUCAGCGACUGCUGCUGUGUUCAACGGCCCUGUGAGGAAAUGGAGGAAGAAGUGGGUCCACGUGUCCCCAUCUUCCACCGUUAGUCACCACAACUCCCACCCCCAUUCCAACGGCCACACCAAUAACAGCUCUCGUCUCCUCCUUUGUCGGUGGACUCCUCUUUCCCCCGCCGCCGCUGCCGAUGCCUCCUCCUCCGAGGAGCCUCCCAAACGCAAGUUCCGCUACACUCCGGUGUGCUCUCUCUCUCUCUCUCCGUGUCUCAUGUAAAUUGUUUUGCUUUUUCUCAUGGUUUAAUUUUGAAGUGGAUGUACUAGAAAAUAUGUAAAUGGGUUACCUUUAUUCCAGCUUAUCAGUUAUCUGUUUAACUGCUCGUUGAGUUCAUUUUGCUGGACUCUGUUAUAGUAUGAGACUAGGGUUUAACUUGUGUUUUCAUUUGGUGGUCAUUAGCAAAAGCAUUCUAGCUCGUCAUUUCUGCACUGAAAUAAUUUCAUGAAGUGGUUGUAGAUUAGAGAGAGAUCAUUCAAUUUGAUGUCAUUCUAUUUCUUAAGUUGAACAUGGUUUGAUUGCUUUCGUGCCUCAAGAUUGCGGUGCUAGAAGAACGGAGGAAGGCCGCCAAAAAGGUUGAUCAUGAAGCUAAGGCAGGCAGUAUCAACCAGUUCACAGAACUGCCAACCUCAAAGAACGAUGAGCAAACUAGUGACACUGCUUUGAAGACUGAAACACAGGUACCGUUUAUAAAAUUUGAGUAACUAUUUACCGUUUGUGAUUCUUCUUACUGGCUUGGCUUUUAUACACACACUACUAUUUUAUCUAUUUGCCUUUUCUUUUUUGCUUCAUUGUGCUUGUGGUUCAGAAUUGUAGUUCAUCUUGCUUCAUGGGAAUGGGAAUGGGAAUGGGAUGGUUUCAUAUUCCGGAUUCGUUUCUUUUACGUUUCUAUUUAUGAUAUCAUAAUUGUACAUAUGCUCAACCGCACUUAUUUAAAGGAAAGAAGAAAAGGCCAGAAUGUUACCAGGUCUAUGUAUAUGCUCAAGAAUGAGAAUUUUACUAUUGUUAUUGAUUUUUAUCAUUUUCUAAUUUCUAUGCUUAUGAGAAGAAUUUCCAUUUUGCUGAAUUAUUACAUGUUUAUUGUGGUUGAAAAAUGUAUGAAAUGAGAUGUGAUUAAAUGAAUAAACAGGUUUUCUGGACCAAUUCCUUCUUGUUUGUUGAGGAUUAGUUUGAUAUUUGAUAAUAUGGCAUAUUUUCUUAUUACUAGCCAUGGGUUCUCUCACUAGGCAUGAUAACAGAAUAACUAAUCUCUUCAUGGUUUGUGCGGUACAAAAUUUUGCAUCCAUGAUGAAUAUUGUUGACGAGACCCUAUCAAAUACUUUACUCUUGGAUUUUAAUGUAGUCAAAUAUUUUUUAGGCCCUUCAUUGAGAAAAAUGUUAAAUUUUUUUAUCAUUUAAUUUAUCAAUAGAAUCCAUAUUUUUAUCCUUUCUUUGGGCACAACUUCAACAGAAUUUUUCAAUGUCAUGCUAGCAAGCAGGAUCGAUCAUUAUCAAGCUUGUUUGUUGCAUACACAUGACUAGCAAGCAUUGCGAGAUAUCUUCACCUGUUAGCAAUCUAGCACAUAGAAGUCAUGUUUAAGAAUGUCUUGGACACUGAAUUUUUUAUUUUUUUUUUCUUGUGGUACUUUGGAAAUUGUUGAAGUGGUCUGAAUUUUGAACCCUUGAUUUUGACCUUUUUUACUACGAGGCAAGCACUCGUCGUUGGCUUCUGCCCCAGUGGCUAUGUUGAGUCUAUUCAAAUCAACUCUGAAAGUAGUGGGAAUUAAACAAGAGUCUUUCUUCCUUACAGGAUUCGAGCACAAGUAAUCUGGAUUUGGGCUUGUGCUUGAAAGGCCACAAUGGUGACCAUGAUAAUAACCUUGGCCAGAGCAAAGAGGGUGAAAUGAAGAAAGCAAGCGCCGGUGGGUUUUGGACGACUAGUUGACACCCAGCAGACCCUUAAAACAGAAGAAGCUGGUUAGGUAUGCACUGGUAUGAAGUCUCAAUUGGGCGACUCAUUUUGAUGAUUAUGGCGAACGAUACAGUUUAUGUUGUAGAAGAAGCAACAUUGCUUCAUCUUGUAAUUGAUUGUAGGGCAUGUCUGCAGUUACUAGAUGAAUGUUUUAUGUCAAUUAAUGGCAUUUGUACGCAAUGGAAAACCAUCUGAUCCUAAACUUAUUUUACCACCCCACUAGUAUUAGCAAGUUUACAGUAACACUGUUCGUAUGAUUUUUCAUCCAUCGUCUCACAAUUUUAAGGGUUUCAUCACUCACUCUGAUUAGAUUAAGUUAACAACUUUAAUUUGUUAAAAAAAAAUCACUCCUUUAAUUUCAU
This 2512-nucleotide unclassified non-coding RNA is filed under the name Hevea brasiliensis (rubber tree). The record is from RNAcentral. Lineage: Eukaryota; Viridiplantae; Streptophyta; Magnoliopsida; Malpighiales; Euphorbiaceae.